RNAcentral lists this ribosomal RNA (253 nucleotides) under uncultured bacterium. RNAcentral's name for it is "partial 16S ribosomal RNA". It matches the Rfam family "Bacterial small subunit ribosomal RNA", at positions 524 to 776 of the family's 1533-position model. The record is from RNAcentral.
UACAGAGGGUGCAAGCGUUAAUCGGAAUUACUGGGCGUAAAGCGUGCGCAGGCGGUUAUGUAAGACAGGUGUGAAAACCCCGGGCUUAACCUGGGAACUGCAUUUGUGACUGCAUAGCUAGAGUACGGUAGAGGGGGGUGGAAUGCCGCGUGUAGCAGUGAAAUGCGUAGAGAUGCGGCGGAACACCGAUGGCGAAGGCAGCCCCCUGGGCUGAGAUUGACGCUCAGGCACGAAAGCGUGGGGAGCAAACAGG